Unclassified non-coding RNA from Fukomys damarensis (Damara mole-rat), 340 nucleotides. Its record names the gene 7SK. It matches the Rfam family "7SK RNA". From Rfam's summary of the family: 7SK was discovered as an abundant small nuclear RNA in the mid-70s but a possible function has only recently been suggested. Two independent studies have found that 7SK RNA binds the CDK9/cyclin T complex (known as elongation factor P-TEFb). P-TEFb activates transcription by phosphorylating the C-terminal domain of RNA polymerase II. NCBI's taxonomy places the organism in Eukaryota, Metazoa, Chordata, Mammalia, Rodentia, Bathyergidae. The record is from Ensembl.
GGAUGUGGGAGCAAUCUGGUUGUGACAUCAGUCACCCCAUUGAUUGCCAGGAUUAAUCUCGCUGAUCUAGCUGGCUAGGAAGGUCCUCUUUCUCCCUCACUGCUCCAUGCACACCUCUUACCCCUCCUCCACCCAACCCCCUCAGCCCCAGCAAAGCUGUGCUGAGUCAAAGAGGACAGCCACCCCCAGUUGAGAGAAGAGUGUCCUCAGUCAAGGGUAUACAAGUAGCUGCACUCACUUCCAAACAAGCCCUUAGAAUAAACAUUUGUAUAAAAAUACUUUUCAUGUGUUGUUUUAAUUCAAAUUAUCUCCUCUGUAGCAUUGGGUAGUCUUGUAAAUU